RNAcentral lists this ribosomal RNA (442 nucleotides) under uncultured bacterium. RNAcentral describes it as "partial 16S ribosomal RNA". It matches the Rfam family "Bacterial small subunit ribosomal RNA", at positions 338 to 795 of the family's 1533-position model. The record is from RNAcentral.
CCUACGGGUGGCAGCAGUAGGGAAUCUUUCACAAUGGGCGAAAGCCCGAUGGAGCAACGCCGCGUGCAGGAUGAAGGCCUUCGGGUUGUAAACUGCUUUUAUAAGCGAGAAAUAUGAUGGUAACUUAUGAAUAAGGAUCGGCUAACUACGUGACAGCAGCCGCGGUCAUACGUAGGAGCCGAGCAUUAUCCGGAGUGACUGGGUGUAAAGAGUGGCGUAGGUGGCUUUAUAAGUAGCUAGUGAAAUCUGGUGGCUCAACCAUUCAGACUAUUAGCGAAACUGUUAAGCUCGAGACCGUUAGGGGUAACUGGAAUUUCUGGUGUAGGAGUGAAAUCCGUAGAUAUUAGGAGGAACACCGAUGGCGUAGGCAGGUUACUGGGACGGUUCUGACACUAAGGCACGAAAGCGUAGGGAGCAAACGGGAUUAGAUACCCUUGUAGUC